GAUGAACGCUGGCGGCGUGCCUAAUACAUGCAAGUCGAGCGAACAGACGAGGAGCUUGCUCCUCUGACGUUAGCGGCGGACGGGUGAGUAACACGUGGAUAACCUACUUAUAUUACUGGGAUAACUUCGGGAAACCGGAGCUAAUACCGGAUAAUAUAUUGAACCGCAUGGUUCAAUAGUGAAAGACGGUUUUGCUGUCACUUAUAGAUGGUUCCGCGCCGCAUUAGCUAGUUGGUAAGGUAACGGCUUACCAAGGCGACGAUGCGUAGCCGACCUGAGAGGGUGAUCGGCCACACUGGAACUGAGACACGGUCCAGACUCCUACGGGAGGCAGCAGUAGGGAAUCUUCGGCAAUGGGCGAAAGCCUGACGGAGCAACGCCGCGUGAGUGAUGAAGGUCUUCGGAUCGUAAAGCUCUGUUAUUAGGGAAGAACAGAUGUGUAAGUAAAUAUGCACGUCUUGACGGUACCUAAUCAGAAAGCCACGGCUAACUACGUG
RNAcentral lists this ribosomal RNA (497 nucleotides) under uncultured bacterium. RNAcentral's name for it is "partial 16S ribosomal RNA". It matches the Rfam family "Bacterial small subunit ribosomal RNA", at positions 28 to 507 of the family's 1533-position model. The record is from RNAcentral.